CAAUCGAACCCGGAGAUAGCUGGUUCUCCCCGAAAUAGCUUUAGGGCUAGCGUCGCAGCGAGAGAGCCGUGAAGGUAGAGCACUGAAUAUGCGAUGGCCGCAUCCCGCGGUACUGAGCAUAAUCAAACUCCGAAUGUCACGGUGUCAUCUGCGGCAGUCAGACGGCGAGUGAUAAGGUCCGUCGUCAAGAGGGAAACAGCCCAGACCAUCAGCUAAGGUCCCAAAGUGCAUGCUAAGUGGAAAAGGAAGUGGAGACGUGCAGACAACUAGGAGGUUGGCUCAGAAGCAGCCAUCCUUCAAAGAGUGCGUAACAGCUCACUAGUCGAAUGACUCUGCGCCGAUAAUUUACCGGGGCUAAGCAUGACACCGAAGCUAUGGACAGGAAUGUGGUAGGGGAGCAUUGCAUGCAGCGGAGAAGCAUGACCGAGAGGGCAUGUGGAGCGCAUGGAAGAGAGAAUGCCGGCGUGAGUAGCGGCACGUGGGUGAGAAUCCCACGCACCGAUGGCCCAAGGUCUCCAGAGGAAGGCUCGUCCUCUCUGGGAUAGUCGGGACCUAAGGCGAGGCCGAAAGGCGUAGCCGAUGGACGACGGGUGGAUAUUCCCGUACCCGAUGUGUGGCGAUGGAGUGACGGAGAAGGCUCAGGCAACCAGCUGCUGGAAUAGCUGGGGCAAGCGAGAUACCUGCGCACCAGGGAAAUCCGGUGCGCGCAGGGGGAAGGCGCGAAGCAUACGGAAAGCUGCGGCAAGUACGGAAAAGCUGAGAGCAGGCUUCCAGGAAAAGCUUCUAGCACAACACGCAUCGGCCCGUACCGAAAAUGGACACACAUGGGCAAGGAGAGAAUCCUGAGGUGAGCGAGAGAACUAUAGCUAAGGAACUCUGCAAAAUGACCCCGUAACUUAGGGAGAAGGGGUGCUCCAGAAAUGGAGCCGCAGUAAAACGGCCCAAGCGACUGUUUACCAAAAACACAGCUCUCUGCGAAGGCGCAAGCCGAAGUAUAGGGGGUGACGCCUGCCCGGUGCUGGAAGGUCAAGGGGAGCUGUCAGCGCAAGCGAAGCAGCGAGCCGAAGCCCCAGUAAACGGCGGCCGUAACUAUAACGGUCCUAAGGUAGCGAAAUUCCUUGUCGGGCAAGUUCCGACCCGCACGAAAGGCGUAACGAUUUGGGCGCUGUCUCAGCUGUAGACUCGGUGAAGUCUUAGUACCUGUGAAGAUGCAGGUUGCCCGCGACUAGACGGAAAGACCCCAUGGAGCUUCACUGCAGGUUGACAUUGGGCUUGGAUGCAUGAUGUACAGGAUAGGUGGGAGGCUGUGAGCCGUGCGCGCCAGCGUACGGGGAGCCGCUGUUGGGAUACCACCCUUCAUGCAUCUAGGUCCUAACCGGAGGCAACGGGCCACGGGACAGUGUCAGUCGGGCAGUUUGACUGGGGCGGUCGCCUCCCAAAGAGUAACGGAGGCGCCCAAAGAUACCCUCAGCAUGGAUGGAAACCAUGCAUAGAGUGCAAAGGCAUAAGGGUGUCUGACUGCGAGACAUACAGGUCGAGCAGGGACGAAAGUCGGGCUUAGUGAUCCGGCGGAUCCGAAUGGAAGGGCCGUCGCUCAACGGAUAAAAGCUACCCUGGGGAUAACAGGCUGAUCUCCCCCAAGAGUUCACAUCGACGGGGAGGUUUGGCACCUCGAUGUCGGCUCAUCGCAUCCUGGAGCUGAAGUCGGUUCCAAGGGUUGGGCUGUUCGCCCAUUAAAGCGGUACGCGAGCUGGGUUCAGAACGUCGUGAGACAGUUCGGUCCCUAUCUGUCGUGGGCGCAGGAGGUUUGAGGAGAGCUGCCCCUAGUACGAGAGGACCGGGGUGGACGGACCGAUGGUGCACCAGUUGUCACGCCAGUGGCACAGCUGGGCAGCCAAGUCCGGACGGGAUAAGCGCUGAAGGCAUCUAAGCGUGAAGCCCCCUCCAAGAUGAGACCUCCCAUUGGCGACAAGUAAGGCCCCUCGAAGACGACGAGGUUGAUAGGCCGCGAGUGCAAGCGCAGCGAUGUGCUUAGCGGGGCGGUACUAAUAGGCCGAGGACUUGGCCAA
This 2069-nucleotide ribosomal RNA is filed under the name human gut metagenome. RNAcentral describes it as "bacterial LSU rRNA". It matches the Rfam family "Bacterial large subunit ribosomal RNA", at positions 830 to 2925 of the family's 2925-position model. The record is from RNAcentral.